RNAcentral lists this ribosomal RNA (492 nucleotides) under uncultured bacterium. RNAcentral's name for it is "partial 16S ribosomal RNA". It matches the Rfam family "Bacterial small subunit ribosomal RNA", at positions 28 to 507 of the family's 1533-position model. The record is from RNAcentral.
GAUGAACGCUAGCUACAGGCUUAACACAUGCAAGUCGAGGGGAAACGACAUCGAAAGCUUGCUUUUGAUGGGCGUCGACCGGCGCACGGGUGAGUAACGCGUAUCCAACCUGCCCACCACUUGGGGAUAACCUUGCGAAAGUAAGACUGAUACCCAAUGAUAUCUCUAGAAGACAUCUGAAAGAGAUUAAAGAUUUAUCGGUGAUGGAUGGGGAUGCGUCUGAUUAGCUUGUUGGCGGGGUAACGGCCCACCAAGGCAACGAUCAGUAGGGGUUCUGAGAGGAAGGUCCCCCACAUGGGAACUGAGACACGGUCCAAACUCCUACGGGAGGCAGCAGUGAGGAAUAGUGGUCAAUGGACGAGAGUCUGAACCAGCCAAGUAGCGUGCAGGAAGACGGCCCUAUGGGUGGUAAACUGCUUUUAUAAGGGAAUAAAGUGAGUCUCGUGAGACUUUUUGCAUGUACCUUAUGAAUAAGAACCGGCUAAUUCCGUG